UGCGACGACGGCGAGAGCCCGAGUCACAAUGAGUGAGCGGCCGGUGCGAGCGACCGGCCGGCGAACAUAUGAUCGACGGAGGGGCGCGGGGCGGGGCACCGCCUGUGAGGCCCGCACGCAGGAGGCGCCGUAAGCCGACACCGACUAUGGGAUUACAGAGCGGCCGCCGAGACUCGUCGGAGGCCCGGGGCCGCCCGCCUCAUCACGCCUUGUUACAUGCAAUGGAAUUCACCAAAAUACAUAUUAGAAUGUUCCAGUACCGAAACAUCCUUUUAUAUCAUUGAGCAACACAAAAUGCACCUUAAAGUAAACGCUCUAAGGUGAUAUAUAAUAGUAAAGGUGCGAAGGCAGGUUAAGCUACUAUCAAUCAGCAAGGCGCCAUUGAGGGUUGGCCAUGGUUCGUGAGAAAUCGUAAACACUUACCCGCUUUAUCUGAUAGAUUUUUUUUUGCUCACCAGCGGGUCCAGUCAAUUAAUGGAUUGCGCCGUUACUUGGUUUAUUUUUGGUACCUACCGGCUGCUUAGGCAUUAGAAGAAACUAAUUUAUUUUGAACGUUUUGACAGACAAGGUAUAACGAAGUACCUGUAAAGGAAUGCUAACGAAACUCGCGUUAUCUUUGAUUAUUAUAAAUGGAAGGUAUAAUGUGUCCUGUGGGAGGUUAAUCGAUUAUGUCUUCAAACGGAUCGUACCUGUUUUAUUGAUUCAAAUUAUAGCAUGUUUGUUAAAGAUCAUUUGAGAUCUCAAUUGAGUUCAAAAUACAUAUAUACAGUUAGUUGAAUGUAAGCGAGAAUUAAUUGCAUCCUUGUACAGGAAUUCGAUUGACCCGUUAGUCGUGACAUUGGUGCGUCUAAGCGUUUUAGAAUUGAAGGCAAAUAUUUGUGGUUGGUCUGAGCGGUGUACACCGCACAUGUGCGUAUAAAAAACUGUAGUGUUUAGUGUGGUGUGGCUAUGUGUUGACAGUGCGCAUAGCUGCGGCAAAGCGCUGCGCCCGCGCCACCGACCCGACCACCCUGCGCUCCUACAUCAUCCACUCUAAGUAAUUUAAACAACAUAAAUAUUACCAUC
This is a long non-coding RNA of Zerene cesonia (dogface butterfly), 1065 nucleotides long. RefSeq lists it as uncharacterized. The transcript is spliced from 3 exons. Lineage: Eukaryota; Metazoa; Arthropoda; Insecta; Lepidoptera; Pieridae. The record is from RefSeq and is a predicted model, not a curated record.